CCUACGGGAGGCAGCAGUGAGGAAUAUUGGUCAAUGGACGAGAGUCUGAACCAGCCAAGUAGCGUGAAGGAUGACUGCCCUCUGGGUUGUAAACUUCUUUUAUAUGGGAAUAAAAUGUUCCACGUGUGGGAUUUUGUAUGUACCAUAUGAAUAAGGAUCGGCUAACUCCGUGCCAGCAGCCGCGGUAAUACGGAGGAUCCGAGCGUUAUCCGGAUUUAUUGGGUUUAAAGGUAGCGUAGGUGGAUUGUUAAGUCAGUUGUGAAAGUUUGCGGCUCAACCGUAAAAUUGCAGUUGAUACUGGCAGUCUUGAGUACAGUAGGGGUGGGCGGAAUUCGUGGUGUAGCGGUGAAAUGCUUAGAUAGCACGAAGAACUCCGAUUGCGAAGGCAGUUCACUGGACUGCAACUGACACUGAGGCUCGAAAGUGUGGGUAUCAAACAGGAUUAGAUACCCGUGUAGUC
Molecule: ribosomal RNA, 460 nt
Filed under: uncultured bacterium
Lineage: Bacteria
Description: partial 16S ribosomal RNA
Rfam family: Bacterial small subunit ribosomal RNA
Source: RNAcentral